Molecule: transfer RNA, 84 nt
Filed under: Thelonectria olida
Lineage: Eukaryota; Fungi; Ascomycota; Sordariomycetes; Hypocreales; Nectriaceae
Rfam family: tRNA
About the family: Transfer RNA (tRNA) molecules are approximately 80 nucleotides in length. Their secondary structure includes four short double-helical elements and three loops (D, anti-codon, and T loops).
Source: Rfam by way of RNAcentral
UCUUCCGUAGUAUAGUGGUCAGUAUGCAAGCUUGUCAUUAAACACAAUGCGCUUGAGACCCGGGUUCAAUUCCCGGCGGGAGAG